CCGAUCGGGUAGGAGCCGGGGGACGUCUGAUAAGACUGCCUGCGCAAGCAGAGAGGAAGGAGGGGACGACGUCAAGUCAUCAUGGCCCUUACGCCCAGGGCGACACACGUGCUACAAUGGCGCAUACAGCGGGUAGCUACCUGGCAACAGGAUGCCAACCUCUAAAAGUGCGUCUCAGUUCGGAUUGGGGUCUGCAACCCGACCCCAUGAAGCUGGAAUCGCUAGUAAUCGCGCAUCAGCCAUGGCGCGGUGAAUACGUUCCCGGACCUU
Molecule: ribosomal RNA, 270 nt
Filed under: uncultured Aquiflexum sp.
Lineage: Bacteria; Pseudomonadati; Bacteroidota; Cytophagia; Cytophagales; Cyclobacteriaceae
Description: partial 16S ribosomal RNA
Rfam family: Bacterial small subunit ribosomal RNA
Source: RNAcentral